This 21-nucleotide unclassified non-coding RNA is filed under the name Mus musculus (house mouse). RNAcentral describes it as "oocyte_clustered_small_RNA5615". The record is from RNAcentral. Lineage: Eukaryota; Metazoa; Chordata; Mammalia; Rodentia; Muridae.
CAACAAGCUGCGGUUGCUAUG